This 304-nucleotide unclassified non-coding RNA is filed under the name Hevea brasiliensis (rubber tree). The record is from RNAcentral. Lineage: Eukaryota; Viridiplantae; Streptophyta; Magnoliopsida; Malpighiales; Euphorbiaceae.
GUCAACUUCAUACUUGCAAUCUUAUGUAAGACUUGGAACUGAGGCUACAGAAGUAGAUGAGGUUCCAGCAUGUUUUCUAGAUGUCAAUCAUGUCAUACAGCAACAACAUACCCAGUGUGAUACCACAAGUGGGGUCUGGGAUGGGUGGGGUAUAUGCAGCCCCUUACCCCUAUCUUUGUGGGGGACUACUUUUUUCUAGAUGUCAGACAUCUUGAUAAACUUGGAAUGCAGAUUAAUGUCAAUGAUAAGAUGAUAUGCAAGGCUACCAUGCAUGCAUAUAUAAGAUACAAAUAAAAGAAAUCUG